RNAcentral lists this transfer RNA (77 nucleotides) under Cordylochernes scorpioides. Its description in RNAcentral is "tRNA-Ile". It matches the Rfam family "tRNA". From Rfam's summary of the family: Transfer RNA (tRNA) molecules are approximately 80 nucleotides in length. Their secondary structure includes four short double-helical elements and three loops (D, anti-codon, and T loops). The record is from RNAcentral. Lineage: Eukaryota; Metazoa; Arthropoda; Arachnida; Pseudoscorpiones; Chernetidae.
AUCUACACGGUAGCCUAGUGAACAUGGCAUCCGCCAGAUAAGCGGAACACUGUGGGUUCGAUUCCCAUCCCUGGACA